CUACGGGUGGCACCAGUGAGGAAUAUUGCGCAAUGGGGGCAACCCUGACGCAGCGACGCCGCGUGGAUGAUGAAGGCCUUCGGGUCGUAAAAUCCUGUCAGAUGGAAAGAAGUGCGAGGUGGUUAAUACCCAUUUCGUUUGACGGUACCAUCAGAGGAAGCACCGGCUAACUCCGUGCCAGCAGCCGCGGUAAUACGGAGGGUGCAAGCGUUGUUCGGAAUUACUGGGCGUAAAGCGCGCGUAGGCGGUUUGUUAAGUCAGAUGUGAAAGCCCACGGCUCAACCGUGGACGUGCAUUUGGAACUGGCAGACUUGAGUAUUGGAGGGGGUGGUGGAAUUCCCGGUGUAGAGGUGAAAUUCGUAGAUAUCGGGAGGAAUACCGGUGGCGAAGGCGACCACCUGGCCAAAUACUGACGCUGAGGUGCGAAAGCGUGGGGAGCAAACAGGAUUAGAUACCCUAGUAGUC
RNAcentral lists this ribosomal RNA (465 nucleotides) under uncultured bacterium. RNAcentral describes it as "partial 16S ribosomal RNA". It matches the Rfam family "Bacterial small subunit ribosomal RNA", at positions 339 to 795 of the family's 1533-position model. The record is from RNAcentral.